Molecule: ribosomal RNA, 1446 nt
Filed under: uncultured bacterium
Lineage: Bacteria
Description: bacterial SSU rRNA
Rfam family: Bacterial small subunit ribosomal RNA
Source: RNAcentral
GAUGAACGCUAGCUACAGGCUUAACACAUGCAAGUCGAGGGGCAUCGGUGCGUAGCAAUACGCAGCCGGCGACCGGCGCACGGGUGAGUAACACGUAUCCAACCUACCGCAUACACGGGGAUAGGCUUUCGAAAGAAAGAUUAAUACCCGAUGUUAUAACGAGUGCACAUGCGCUUGUUAUCAAAGGAAUUUCGGUAUGCGCUGGGGAUGCGUUCCAUUAGAUAGUUGGCGGGGUAACAGCCCACCAAGUCUACGAUGGAUAGGGGUUCUGAGAGGAAGGUCCCCCACAUUGGAACUGAGACACGGUCCAAACUCCUACGGGAGGCAGCAGUGAGGAAUAUUGGUCAAUGGACGCGAGUCUGAACCAGCCAAGUAGCGUGAAGGAUGACUGCCCUAUGGGUUGUAAACUUCUUUUAGAAGGGAAUAAAGUGACUUACGUGUAAGUCAUUGCAUGUACCUUCAGAAUAAGGAUCGGCUAACUCCGUGCCAGCAGCCGCGGUAAUACGGAGGAUCCGAGCGUUAUCCGGAUUUAUUGGGUUUAAAGGGAGCGUAGGUUGACCAUUAAGUCAGCUGUGAAAUCUGUCGGCUCAACCGACAAAUUGCAGUUGAAACUGAUGGUCUUGAGUACGGUAGAAGUGGGCGGAAUUCGUGGUGUAGCGGUGAAAUGCUUAGAUAUCACGAAGAACUCCGAUUGCGAAGGCAGCUCACCGGACCGGCACUGACACUGAGGCUCGAAAGUGUGGGUAUCAAACAGGAUUAGAUACCCUGGUAGUCCACACAGUAAACGAUGAAUACUCGCUGUUUGCGAUAUACAGUAAGCGGCCAAGCGAAAGCGUUAAGUAUUCCACCUGGGGAGUACGCCGGCAACGGUGAAACUCAAAGGAAUUGACGGGGGCCCGCACAAGCGGAGGAACAUGUGGUUUAAUUCGAUGAUACGCGAGGAACCUUACCCGGGCUUGAAUUGCUUCUGAAUGAUUUAGAAAUAGAUCAGCCGCAAGGCAGGAGUGAAGGUGCUGCAUGGUUGUCGUCAGCUCGUGCCGUGAGGUGUCGGCUCAAGUGCCAUAACGAGCGCAACCCCUAUUUACAGUUGCCAUCAGAUCAUGCUGGGCACUCUGUAGAGACUGCCGUCGUAAGAUGUGAGGAAGGUGGGGAUGACGUCAAAUCAGCACGGCCCUUACGUCCGGGGCUACACACGUGUUACAAUGGAUGGUACAGAAGGCAGCUACCGUGCGAACGGAUGCUAAUCCCAAAAGCCAUUCCCAGUUCGGAUCGAAGUCUGCAACUCGACUUCGUGAAGCUGGAUUCGCUAGUAAUCGCGCAUCAGCCAUGGCGCGGUGAAUACGUUCCCGGGCCUUGUACACACCGCCCGUCAAGCCAUGGGAGCCGGAGGUGCCUGAAGACCGUAACCGCAAGGAUCGGUCUAGGGUAAAUCAGGUAACUGGGGCU